GCGCAGACUUGUCCCUAUCGUGUGGUGGUGCGCGCGCUGUGCACGCGGGUGCAGACGCAAGUUGUAAAACCGUUUCUUCUUCUUGUACUAGUAUUGGUGGAUGAUAGAGGCGAACGGUCGAACGAACGAACGGAGCGUUGUAGAGGAAGAAGAGAAGAGAAUUAUAAUAGAGGAAGAAUCCGUAUCUGAGGACGACGGUUUGUUGAUGGUGGUGUCGGUUUGUGCUGCUACUCCGAUGUUCAGUGUUCAAUGUAUUGUUGACAGAGCGGAUUCUUCACAACGGACAAGUGUUGAUACUUUGGAAAAACUACCUCGCUUCAUGACUCUCUGUGCUUUUUUCUCCUAAACGUUUACCCGGAGCUCAGGAUCAUUAUUAUUGUUUUUUAAAUUCUUCGGCGGAUAUUUUGAACGCACGGGAAAAAUUUGGAGUUUUUAUUUCGUGGUGGAUUUGAACGAUCUUUGUGUUCCGUUUCAUUGUGUGGAAGCAUUAGUUUAUUCGCUGGAUUUGCAUUGUUGAGUGGUUCUGUGAUCGGAAUUACUUUUCUCUCAGUCAAGAUGCUUCUUCUUACUUGACUAUCGUUCCUCGAAACUUAUCGGUGAUUCUCUUGGAGUAAAAUACGUGUUGUCAAACGUGUGACAAGGAUUUCCACACUCGGACUAACGCCCUCCCGUCAAAGACAUCGAUUUUCCUCGGAGUGAGCACGUUUCUAACUGGAUUAUUUCCCCGCACACACACACACGAGGAGCGGAUUCUAGGACCUUCAUCAUUCCGUCAGUGCUGUUACUUCUAGUGCCCAAAUGUGUGGAUAAAUUUGGGUUAUUUUUUUCUGAGAUUUUUUUUUUUCUUCAACCAUCUUUUUUUUCCUCCUCCUCUGAAGUUUGUUAUUUCUCGGACUGGAUCGUUGUGAUUGGGAAUUGAAUUCGUAGGAUUAUCGAUCAUCGG
This is a long non-coding RNA of Aplysia californica (California sea hare), 943 nucleotides long. RefSeq lists it as uncharacterized. Lineage: Eukaryota; Metazoa; Mollusca; Gastropoda; Aplysiida; Aplysiidae. The transcript is spliced from 2 exons. The record is from RefSeq and is a predicted model, not a curated record.